AGAGUUUGAUCCUGGCUCAGGAUGAACGCUAGCGGCAGGCUUAAUACAUGCAAGUCGAGGGGCAGCACAGGUAGCAAUACUGGGUGGCGACCGGCAAACGGGUGCGGAACACGUACGCAACCUUCCUUUAAGCGGGGGAUAGCCCAGGGAAACUUGGAUUAAUACCCCAUAAUAUUGUUGACUGGCAUCAGUUGGCAAUU
RNAcentral lists this ribosomal RNA (200 nucleotides) under uncultured bacterium. Its description in RNAcentral is "partial 16S ribosomal RNA". It matches the Rfam family "Bacterial small subunit ribosomal RNA", at positions 8 to 202 of the family's 1533-position model. The record is from RNAcentral.